Molecule: unclassified non-coding RNA, 286 nt
Filed under: Glomeromycetes sp.
Lineage: Eukaryota; Fungi; Glomeromycota; Glomeromycetes
Description: partial contains 5.8S ribosomal RNA and internal transcribed spacer 2
Rfam family: 5.8S ribosomal RNA (bases 1-71)
Source: RNAcentral
GUGAAUCAUCAAAUUUUUGAACGCAAAUUGCACUUUCUGGUAUUCCGGAAAGUAUGCCUGUUUGAGGGUCAGUUAAAUAAAAAUCGGUGUUGUUGCUGCUAUUAGUGGUGAUGCAUCGGAAUUGAUUUGUUCUUUGCCCUUUGGUAUAAGUGCCUUAAAUUUUUUACGAUUUUUGAACGUAUUUAAUUUAUUUACGUACGUUCAUAAUAUCAUAUAUUAGGUGCGUUCAUUCUUAUGAUUCCGCGCCUUUAAUUUUUUCUUUAUUGUACUUCAAUUCUGGUAAGAA